UCGACUUGGAGGUUGUGCCCUUGAGGCGUGGCUUCCGGAGCUAACGCGUUAAGUCGACCGCCUGGGGAGUACGGCCGCAAGGUUAAAACUCAAAUGAAUUGACGGGGGCCCGCACAAGCGGUGGAGCAUGUGGUUUAAUUCGAUGCAACGCGAAGAACCUUACCUGGUCUUGACAUCCACGGAAGUUUUCAGAGAUGAGAAUGUGCCUUCGGGAACCGUGAGACAGGUGCUGCAUGGCUGUCGUCAGCUCGUGUUGUGAAAUGUUGGGUUAAGUCCCGCAACGAGCGCAACCCUUAUCCUUUGUUGCCAGCGGUCCGGCCGGGAACUCAAAGGAGACUGCCAGUGAUAAACUGGAGGAAGGUGGGGAUGACGUCAAGUCAUCAUGGCCCUUACGACCAGGGCUACACACGUGCUACAAUGGCGCAUACAAAGAGAAGCGACCUCGCGAGAGCAAGCGGACCUCAUAAAGUGCGUCGUAGUCCGGAUUGGAGUCUGCAACUCGACUCCAUGAAGUCGGAAUCGCUAGUAAUCGUGGAUCAGAAUGCCACGGUGAAUACGUUCCCGGGCCUUGUACACACCGCCCGUCACACCAUGGGAGUGGGUUGCAAAAGAAGUAGGUAGCUUAACCUUCGGGAGGGCGCUUACCACUUUGUGAUUCAUGACUGGGGUGAAGUCGUAACAAGGUAACCGUAGGGGAACCUGCGGUUGGAUCACCUCCUUA
RNAcentral lists this ribosomal RNA (721 nucleotides) under Escherichia coli. RNAcentral's name for it is "bacterial SSU rRNA". It matches the Rfam family "Bacterial small subunit ribosomal RNA", at positions 812 to 1533 of the family's 1533-position model. The record is from RNAcentral. RNAcentral also lists the same sequence under 2 other names. Lineage: Bacteria; Pseudomonadati; Pseudomonadota; Gammaproteobacteria; Enterobacterales; Enterobacteriaceae.